GUUGUGGCUCAGCGGUGGAGCGCUUGCCCAGCAAGCUUGAGGCACUGGGUUCGAUUCUCGGCACACA
RNAcentral lists this transfer RNA (67 nucleotides) under Marmota monax (woodchuck). RNAcentral's name for it is "tRNA.Ala". The record is from RNAcentral. Lineage: Eukaryota; Metazoa; Chordata; Mammalia; Rodentia; Sciuridae.